Molecule: unclassified non-coding RNA, 966 nt
Filed under: Hevea brasiliensis (rubber tree)
Lineage: Eukaryota; Viridiplantae; Streptophyta; Magnoliopsida; Malpighiales; Euphorbiaceae
Source: RNAcentral
AGACCCAAGAAUAUUUCGUAAUUUUUGAGCAUCCCUAACAUAAAGACGUAAGAAAUCUUCAACUGUAUGUAUUCCACUAUUAUUUAGUUUUUUAUGAAAGGAACCAUCUUUGCCAAUUUUCUCCAACCUCCAUACUUCAUCAUUCAAUGCAGGCGGAUAGUGUUUCUUGUAGAGUUCCCCUCUGUGAUCUUUAACAGUGAAAGCUUCAGUCUUUGCCUCCCGAAUUCGUAUGCCCUCACAAUAUCCAGAGGCAACCUUCAAGCCAAGCCUAAACUUCCUGCUCCUUAUCCAGCUUGAGUUGUCCGUAAAAGUGAGUUCCCCCAGCGUUCCUACCCCUUCCUUGAGGGUCACUUGUAGAUCCCCAGUCAACAGUGGUCUUUUUCCUUCACGCUCUUUUACAACAUGGCUUUCAAAUUCUUCCUGGUUCCAGUCUUCAUCAUCUUCAUUAUUGAAAUCACCUUCAAGCACAACAACGUCUAGCUUUACAGAGGCUUCAGGCCCAGAGGUUACAACAACGCCACUAUUAGCAUCAAGCAGAACAAUGUGGAUUGCAGCACCCUGCUCCCCCUCCACUUUUCCUCCAGUGAAAAGAGGAAGAGACAACCUGGACCUAAAUUGUAACUGCAAGUUUCCUCCAUCUGGACCUUCAAUACGUUUCGGGGAAGACCUUCCACUGAUUCUAGGAGGGCCCAACUUUGCUAAAGCACGUUCCACUUCCUCACUUACAACUCUACGAAGAAUGGGUUCCAAAGAUGAGCAGAGCUUUUGCAGACUGUCCACCUUAAGAGCUUCUACAAUGACACUAGCUAAAGCAGGGCGCUUUCGCUCAGGUUGCUGCUCUUCUCCACCUUCUAAAGCCCUCUUCCCUCUAGCCAUACUAUUAGUCCUCUCCAUAUACCUGGUCUGCAUUUUCACCCAAUUAUAGAAACCCUAGCUUCCCAGAUCUGAGAUAUAAAGAGAGUGUUC